UUUUUUUGUAGAGAGGGGGUCCCGGUAUGUUGCCCAGGUGAGUCUCAAAUUCCUGGGCUCAAUUCUCCCACCCUGGCCUCCCAAAGUGGUACAAUUGCAGGUAUGAGCCCUGAUUUCUUAUAUGGUAAAGACAGUAACUGGCCUCUCUAGGGACUGGCAGGUGUGGGUUCGACCCCAGCUCUGCCAACCACCAAAGUCCAAGUGUUUAUUGUCCACCUGGACUGCCUCAGACACUUGCAGGAUGUGGUAAGUACUAUGACACAGGUGCACAGAAGGUGCUCUGGGAACAGCUUGUCUUCAUGUUUACAAUGGCUUCUUUCCCUAGCCAAGGACUCUAUCAGCCUUGCCACUUGGGGACAGGUUGAGCUCGCUCAGGGAGUCAGGCCCCACAGGGCUCCCUGCCAACCUCCCAUCAUUGUGAUUGAAUUUAUUCUUUAUUUUUCUUCCAGGAACAUCAGCGCACUUGUAACAAUAAUAAUCAUCUUUUCUACUGGGUAUACUGUUUCAUGGUUUACAAAGCACUUUCACAUCCAUUAUCUCAUUUAAUCACUUCCUCCUCUACAUUCCUACAACAGUUUCUUGGUACCUCUUCAGUAUAAUAUUCUGCCUGGUAUAACAAGCCUAUUUCCCUUUACUGCAUUUAUUUUUACUCACAAGUUCCAGCAUAUAAUUCAGGCAUCUUUGCACCUUGGACACUUCUGUGUACAAAGUAAGCACAAUAAAAGUUUGACAUGCCAGUCACAGCAGCCUUCGACCACAGUACCAGCUACUUGGGAG
Molecule: long non-coding RNA, 777 nt
Filed under: Homo sapiens (human)
Lineage: Eukaryota; Metazoa; Chordata; Mammalia; Primates; Hominidae
Description: HSALNT0256918
Source: RNAcentral